Molecule: unclassified non-coding RNA, 486 nt
Filed under: Chorizandra sphaerocephala
Lineage: Eukaryota; Viridiplantae; Streptophyta; Magnoliopsida; Poales; Cyperaceae
Description: partial miscellaneous RNA
Source: RNAcentral
AUUUGGGGUAUACCUUUUCCUUUCCAAAAUUCAUAAAAAGAAAAACGAAAAAAAUUUUUUUUUUUCUUUUCCCUCCAAAAAAAGAAACUUCAAAAUAACUUGGUUCUAAAGGAAAUUUGGAACAUUUAUUUUCAGCCAAAAGGCCUUUUUAAAAAGAUAAAUAUAAAUAAGACUUUUCUCUGUCAUCAUUUAUAUGAAUUUGUGAAGGAAAAAGAUAUACCCAAUAUAUUGGUCUGAAAAAUCAAUAUAUUGGGUAAGGAAAGAAAUAUACUUAGGGGUCACUAAAAGCUCUUUAGUGGAUAAGAACACCCAAAGGGUCUCAAAAAUAUUUUUAUUGGGAUUUUUCUAUCUAUUGAGUGAGAAUAUCUAGUUGGUUUGGAAAACCAAUAUGGGUAAGGAAAAAAAGCAAUUGGCUUUCAAAAUCAAUAUUGUUAGGAACAAAAUAGUCAAUAUAUGGGUUUUAUUGACCGAUAUAUAUAUUGGGUA